This is a non-coding RNA of Trametes pubescens, 98 nucleotides long. The record is from the annotation of a GenBank genome assembly. NCBI's taxonomy places the organism in Eukaryota, Fungi, Basidiomycota, Agaricomycetes, Polyporales, Polyporaceae.
GGCCUGGUGGUCUAGUAGUAUGAUUCCUUCUUAGGGUUCGAAGAGCGAUUUUCGAGUGUAUUUGGAGGAGGUCCCGGGUUCAAUUCCCGGCCAGGCCC